CGUCUCGCUAAUACUUAGCUUUCCCCGGUCACGUCUGUUUCGUUUUUGUUUCAAAGAGAUGGCUUUGUUUUUGCCGGUGUGGGGCUCCACGAGGAGCUCCGCGCGUCCCGCCCCCUCGCCUCGGGCGUCACUGCCUCGCGGCGCCAGCUCGGUGGCCCCGGGGCCGCCAGAAGCCCCCGCCUUUGUCCGGCUGAUCGGCCGAGGUGUAAUCUGCGCGCGCACACGCACGCACGCACGCACGCAUGCACCCGCCCGCGCCCACCCGCGCAUGCGCGCUCUCGCAGCUCCGCCCGAAGCGCCGCCUCCAUGCCAGACCGUCUCACCCACCAGUGCUCAAGUGUUUCACCCACCAGUGCUCAAAUUCUUCCUGGGCCCUCCCUGACACAAGAGGUAUUACUUAAGAAGGAGACUCAUUUAAUGGAUAUUCAGUAAGUCCCAGUGCUCUCGAGUUACUAAUUUUUCCAUGAUUUCCUGAAAUUUCAAGUCUCU
RNAcentral lists this long non-coding RNA (489 nucleotides) under Ursus maritimus (polar bear). RNAcentral describes it as "lncRNA (ENSUMAG00000013284.1)". Lineage: Eukaryota; Metazoa; Chordata; Mammalia; Carnivora; Ursidae. The record is from RNAcentral.